This is a long non-coding RNA of Erinaceus europaeus (western European hedgehog), 1677 nucleotides long. RefSeq lists it as uncharacterized. The record is from RefSeq and is a predicted model, not a curated record. The transcript is spliced from 4 exons. Lineage: Eukaryota; Metazoa; Chordata; Mammalia; Eulipotyphla; Erinaceidae.
UUUCUUUCUUCUUUCUUACCCCUAGUAAACUGCUGAGUGCAGAAUUGGUUCUAAGUUGUUUGAAGCUUUUACUUUCUUUACCAGGCUUAACUAACAGGUGAUGCUUAUUCAUGUGUCAUAAUUUCAGAUUUUCCCAUCUUAUUCUAAAAAUGCUGAUGAUUUUAAAAUUUGAUAGGACCAAAAUAAGUUGAGAGGGAAGGGGAAAGAAAUAGAGAGCGGCAGAGAAAGAGAGGCUCCUGGAGCACUUGUUCACUACUUGUGAAGCUUCUCUCCUGCAGGUGGAGACUGGGGGAUUGGACCUGGGUUCAUAUGCAAGGUAAUAUGUAUGUUGAACCUGGUGCACCACUGCCUAGCUCCUAGAUCUCCCCCCUUUUUUUGUUUUUAGAAUCAUCUGGGACACAAAAUAAGUGGCAGGGGGCAGGGAGAGGAAGUGAAAGAACUUUGUUGAAACUUCUGAAGAUGAGCAGAAUAGAUCUGUGUGAGAUUCUUUGAGACAGAGAGUGACAUGGAAAGUAGGGGGUAUGGGGAGCUAUAGUGAGAAGGUUAUUCUUUGUUUCUUCUUCUUCUUCUUCUUCUUCUUCUUCUUCUUCUUCUUCUUCUUCUUCUUCUUCUUCUUCUUCUUCUUCUUCUUCUUCUUCUUCUCCUUCUCCUCCUCCUCCUCCUCCUCCUCCUCCUCCUCCUCCUCCUCCUCCUUCUUCUUCUUUUUAUCAUAACACUGUUCAGUUCUGGCUUAUAGUGGUGUGGGGGAUUGAACCUGGGAUGUUGGAUCCUCAGGCAUGAGAGUAUGUUUGCACAACCAUUAUGCUUUCUACCUUCCACCCAAUCUGGAUGCUUUAAACACCACCCAGGAGUGGUGUACAGGUACUGGUGCCUAGAUCCCCUGAUGAAUUCCUCCAAAUCUGUGGGGCUGGCCCUGGAUGCUGACAUAUUUUUAUGAGGCUGUCCUGUAGAGUCUGACACUCAGUGAGGGCUGGGUCCUUCACCUUUGUGGAGCAUGACUCACUGGAGUUAAAAAACAGAGAGGUUUCCUCUUGCACAAUUGGCCUGAAAGUGUUUUCUCAUGGCAGAUGAAAGGCAGACAGAUAUUUUUGUCCCACCUGCCCUGACUAAGCUUGAUGAGGAAAGGAUAUGUGCUGCUGACAGGCAAAGGAUAGUGGCUGAAGACAGAAGUCACUCUCCUGGGCAGAGGGCAGUGGCCAAAGUUUGUGGAUGGGGGCAGCCUUCCUCUCUUUCAUGUCUUUCAGAAACUACAGAAAGACCCAACCAUGCAAUUAUAUGUGAAAAUCAUUCCCAGCUGACAACUCUCUGAGCCUGGUGUCUGCCCCGAGCUUCUCCUGAGCACAGAGUCCACACUGUGAAUUUGCCUGGAUGCUUUAUCUGUUCCCCUCAAACAAUGGGAGAUCUGGAUUAUCCAUCACAAUGGACAUUUACUUUGGAAACUGCAAAUUGAAUUGGAAGUCAACAAAUAUUUUUUAUGUCUGAGGCAGCUCAGACUAUGAUAUGUGCGUUAAUAAUAAAAUAAUGGAGUACAUAAAUAUGCAAUUUCCAUUUACACAAACUUGGAUGAAAUUGGGCAGUACACUAGAAAUCCAAAAUCUAGAAGAUGCCUAUAAAGAUUAAGGACAGAGAGAAAUGGAGAGAGGAGGGGAAGACAGAGACGGGGAGAGAAAGAUAGAC